UAAAGUUGGAUUAUAUUACUCCACCCACCGGCACAGAGAGAGCCAGAGAGAGAGAGACCGCAGCUAGCUUUUGAUUCUCACAGGUUUUCUUGCUGAAAAAUCCAAUCACGCUCACAAAAACGCACGGAACCCGUAUUUACGAUGAUUUCCGGAGUAUCUCAUCCAGUUCAAUUCACCAAAUUUCGUAGUUAAGGGCUUCUCCGUCUCUGUUUUCCCUCAAAGACAAGUAAAACGUAAUAAAGAAAACAUCUUUCUUCUCUUUUCAGGCAGCUUCCUAGAGGGUAGGAAAUUAGCCAUAAGUUACCCAGCAAAACCACAAAGGCAUUUGUGAUUUUUAAAUAGAAGAGGAAGGGUAAUGGUUUGCAGAGGCUUAGUACUUCUGCAAGCCGAGCUUCCUUUCUCGCUCUUCAUAUAUCGAAGUACAAUUACUGCUGUAAAAGCCUCUUGUUCGUGAUGCUUGUGCAUAUGACAAUUGGUAUCUGUUGAUGAGAUUGGGGAGUUUCUGUGGAGUUUUUAAGUGAGAGAAAGAAUUGCAGCUGGCAUAAUGGGUGCUGUCUGUUGCUGUUUGAAUUCUGAGAGUUUUGAAGAUUAUGUAAAUCCAAAUAGUUCUGUAUAUAGGAACUGUAUGUGUCUCAGUUGCUUUAUUCAGAACCUUUUAAAUGUGUACACCUCACUAUUCAGAAGAGGGGAAGUGCAUUCCCUCCCUUCGUCUAUUCAGGGGACAGCAUCUAUGACUUCUGCAGCAUCACUGGACAACACUCUAUCUGACAUGUAUCGCUCUCCUCCAAGGCCCUUGCCUUACGAUGCAGACCCCAGAUAUUUCCGCUUGCAGCGGGAUGGACUAGUUUCAAGACGUGAAAAGGGCUCGAGUCAUUCACAUGAGGAGACAGAACCUCUAAGAAGUGAUGUCGAUGUAGAUGCAGUAUCUUUAAAUUCGGGAGACAAAUGGAAUGAAUCUCCCUGUGAAGAUGGAUCUAAAGAAUAUCGUUCUAGGUCCUCACUUAAGCUCUCACAGGCAAAAACUAUGACUGGAGUUGGGAACAUUUAUACAUCAUCAGAAGAUGAGGAUGUCUGUCCUACUUGUCUUGAAGAAUAUACUCAAGAGAACCCCAAGAUACUGACAAAGUGCUGUCAUCAUUUUCACCUUGGUUGCAUUUAUGAGUGGAUGGAGAGAAGUGAAAGCUGUCCAGUUUGUGGCAAGAUGGACAAAUACUGCUGCAUAUAUGAAACUUUUGGCUGCUGAUUUCAUCCCAUCACUUCAAGGCAAAAAGUUAUAAAUACGUUCACCUAUCAAAAAGGUGAUGGUAUUCGAUGAAACAACUAAUCUUGAUUGAAAGGUUUGCGUUGUGGAGGAAGCAAGCAUCACAAGAUUGUGCAUACCACAGAUUAAAGAGUUUGUCAUCCAUAGUAAAUAUAAAAAAUUGUUCUCUUAUCCAUUGUUGUGAAUACAUUCCGUCUCAGAUGUGCGUUGUUCACUACCCCUGGGUAACUUUGCAGUAAAUUUCCAUUUUCGUUGAUUUGGGAGAAAAGAUAGAUAAAGAAAUAAGAUUCAUUCAAACAAACGUUGAGCUACAUGAAAGGCAAUGAAUGCUGAAGACAAAGAGGCCAAGACGAGUUUCCUCAAAGUGGAUGGACCGAGGAGAAACAUCUGUACUGACUCCGGUCCGGAGUAUAUAGUUUUUGCUUACAUUUUUACUUUUUGGCAUUAAGGUGUUGUUGGUUCUCAUUAAGCUUGAAUAUUGAUUUGGCUUUAAAUACUAAAGAAACAUGCAACAGGGGAAGGUAAAUUACACGGCUUAAUUUCUGUUGCUAA
Juglans microcarpa x Juglans regia is the source of this 1813-nucleotide RNA transcript. It is a transcript of the gene named E3 ubiquitin-protein ligase At3g02290-like, with no coding region annotated. The transcript has 6 exons. The record is from RefSeq and is a predicted model, not a curated record. NCBI's taxonomy places the organism in Eukaryota, Viridiplantae, Streptophyta, Magnoliopsida, Fagales, Juglandaceae.